RNAcentral lists this ribosomal RNA (258 nucleotides) under uncultured Glomus. RNAcentral's name for it is "partial 18S ribosomal RNA". It matches the Rfam family "Eukaryotic small subunit ribosomal RNA", at positions 624 to 886 of the family's 1831-position model. Lineage: Eukaryota; Fungi; Glomeromycota; Glomeromycetes; Glomerales; Glomeraceae. The record is from RNAcentral.
AAGCUCGUAGUUGAAUUUCGGGGUUAGUAGGUUGGUCAUGCCUCUGGUAUGUACUGGUCUCACUGAUUCCUCCUUCCUUAUGAGCCAUAAUGCCAUUAAUUUGGUGUUGCGGGGAAUUUGGACUGUUACUUUGAAAAAAUUGAGUGUUUAAAGCAAGCUAACGCUUGAAUACAUUAGCAUGGAAUAAUGAAAUAGGACGUUCGAUCUUAUUUUGUUUGGUUUCUAGGAUCGACGUAAUGAUUAAUAGGGAUAGUUGGG